AGAAGAUCUAGCUAAGAUCAUUGAUGAAGGU
This 31-nucleotide non-coding RNA is filed under the name Homo sapiens (human). The record is from RNAcentral. RNAcentral also lists the same sequence under 1 other name. Lineage: Eukaryota; Metazoa; Chordata; Mammalia; Primates; Hominidae.